UACGGAGGGUGCGAGCGUUGUCCGGAAUCACUGGGCGUAAAGGGCGCGUAGGCGGCCUGAUAAGUAGGGGGUGAAAUCCUGCGGCUUAACCGCAGGGCUGCCUUCUAAACUGUCAGGCUGGAGCACAGUAGAGGCAGGUGGAAUUCCCGGUGUAGCGGUGGAAUGCGUGGAGAUCGGGAAGAACAUCAGUGGCGAAGGCGGCCUGCUGGGCUGUUGCUGACGCUGAGGCGCGACAGCGUGGGGAGCAAACAGG
RNAcentral lists this ribosomal RNA (253 nucleotides) under uncultured bacterium. RNAcentral's name for it is "partial 16S ribosomal RNA". It matches the Rfam family "Bacterial small subunit ribosomal RNA", at positions 524 to 776 of the family's 1533-position model. The record is from RNAcentral.